AUACCUUUCUCGGCCUUUUGGCUAAGAUAAAGUGUAUUAUCUGUUCUUAUCAGUUUAAUAUUUGAUAUGUGGGCCAUGCGCUACUUCGAUAUUAAAUAAAUUUCUUUUAGGGGGGGAGGUCGCGUGUCGCCCGCACUACUGCUUGGGCAUGGCGCACCCCAG
Molecule: small nuclear RNA, 162 nt
Filed under: Oryza meridionalis
Lineage: Eukaryota; Viridiplantae; Streptophyta; Magnoliopsida; Poales; Poaceae
Description: snRNA U2
Rfam family: U2 spliceosomal RNA
About the family: U2 is a small nuclear RNA (snRNA) component of the spliceosome (involved in pre-mRNA splicing). Complementary binding between U2 snRNA (in an area lying towards the 5' end but 3' to hairpin I) and the branchpoint sequence (BPS) of the intron results the bulging out of an unpaired adenosine, on the BPS, which initiates a nucleophilic attack at the intronic 5' splice site, thus starting the first of two transesterification reactions that mediate splicing.
Source: Rfam by way of RNAcentral